GCAGAACUGACGGCCGAUGGGGCAGCAAGGUUCUGGAAUGGAGGCCACGUACCGGAAAACGCAGCGUGGGACGUCCACCCACAAGGUGGACCGAUGACCUGAUAAAGGUAGCGGGAAGGCGCUGGAUGCAGUGGACGUUCUGUGGCUGGAAUGAUGAUGACGAUG
Molecule: long non-coding RNA, 165 nt
Organism: Ostrinia nubilalis (European corn borer)
Lineage: Eukaryota; Metazoa; Arthropoda; Insecta; Lepidoptera; Crambidae
Exons: 2
Source: RefSeq, a predicted model, not a curated record